GAUGAACGCUGGCGGCGUGCCUAAUACAUGCAAGUCGAGCGAACAGACGAGGAGCUUGCUCCUCUGACGUUAGCGGCGGACGGGUGAGUAACACGUGGAUAACCUACCUAUAAGACUGGGAUAACUUCGGGAAACCGGAGCUAAUACCGUAUAACAUGUUGAACCGCAUGGUUCAACAGUGAAAGACGGUCUUGCUGUCACUUAUAGAUGGAUCCGCGCCGCAUUAGCUAGUUGGUAAGGUAACGGCUUACCAAGGCAACGAUGCGUAGCCGACCUGAGAGGGUGAUCGGCCACACUGGAACUGAGACACGGUCCAGACUCCUACGGGAGGCAGCAGUAGGGAAUCUUCCGCAAUGGGCGAAAGCCUGACGGAGCAACGCCGCGUGAGUGAAGAAGGUCUUCGGAUCGUAAAACUCUGUUAUUAGGGAAGAACAAAUGUGUAAGUAACUAUGCACGUCUUGACGGUACCUAAUCAGAAAGCCACGGCUAACUACGUC
RNAcentral lists this ribosomal RNA (497 nucleotides) under uncultured bacterium. Its description in RNAcentral is "partial 16S ribosomal RNA". It matches the Rfam family "Bacterial small subunit ribosomal RNA", at positions 28 to 507 of the family's 1533-position model. The record is from RNAcentral.